Molecule: ribosomal RNA, 253 nt
Filed under: uncultured bacterium
Lineage: Bacteria
Description: partial 16S ribosomal RNA
Rfam family: Bacterial small subunit ribosomal RNA
Source: RNAcentral
UACGUAGAUGGCAAGCGUUGUCCGGAAUUAUUGGGCGUAAAGCGCGCGCAGGCGGUCCUUUAAGUCUGAUGUGAAAGCCCACGGCUCAACCGUGGAGGGUCAUUGGAAACUGGGGGACUUGAGUGCAGAAGAGAAGAGUGGAAUUCCACGUGUAGCGGUGAAAUGCGUAGAGAUGUGGAGGAACACCAGUGGCGAAGCCGACUCUGUGGUCUGCAACUGACGCUGAGGCGCGAAAGCGUGGGGAGCAAACAGG